RNAcentral lists this ribosomal RNA (393 nucleotides) under uncultured bacterium. RNAcentral's name for it is "partial 16S ribosomal RNA". It matches the Rfam family "Bacterial small subunit ribosomal RNA", at positions 523 to 918 of the family's 1533-position model. The record is from RNAcentral.
AUACGGAGGAUCCGAGCGUUAUCCGGAUCUAUUGGGUUUAAAGGGUGCGUAGGCGGGAGAUUAAGUCGGUGGUGAAAUUUUGCAGCUCAACUGUAAAAGUGCCAUUGAUACUGGUUUCCUUGAGUGUGGAUGAAGUAGGCGGAAUUUGCGGUGUAGCGGUGAAAUGCAUAGAUAUCACGAGGAACUCCGAUUGCGCAGGCAGCUUACUAAACCAUAACUGACGCUCAGGCACGAAGGCGUGGGGAUCAAACAGGAUUAGAUACCCUGGUAGUCCACGCAGUAAACGAUGAUUACUCGCUGUUUGCGAUACACAGCAAGCGGCUUAGCGAAAGCGUUAAGUAAUCCACCUGGGGAGUACGUUCGCAAGAAUGAAACUCAAAUGAAUUGACGGGG